This is a non-coding RNA of Aspergillus homomorphus CBS 101889, 89 nucleotides long. Lineage: Eukaryota; Fungi; Ascomycota; Eurotiomycetes; Eurotiales; Aspergillaceae. The record is from the annotation of a RefSeq genome assembly.
GCCCGGAUGGUCUAGUGGUAUGAUUCGCGCUUCGGGGUAAACAAACCAGAGUAUGCGCGAGGUCCCGCGUUCGAAUCGCGGUUCGGGCC